GUCUCUACGACCCUUGAAUCAAACACACACACACACACACACACAUCCUCAGAGAUCGAAUCAGAGGUUCAUGUUUAGAUAUUAUAAUCAUAAACAUUCAUUUAGUACUACUAUCAUUUUUUUUACACCUAUUCUUUUGCUAUUUGUUGCAGGAAAUUUCGUGUUUACAAUGACAAAAUGGAAUAUGCCGAGUAUUAAAAGAAGACAACAUUCAGAGUAUCUUCUCCAAUGUUUGAGUAAAUCUAGUGUUGUUGAAAGCCUGAGACUAGAUUGUUCUAUAUUGCCGGAGUGUGCAACACAUCCUUUAGUAUCAUGGCUUUUUCAAAGCAGAAUAGGUCUUGAAAGGGAAACGAUCAUAGCAAACAUGCCUUCAAAAGUCAAGUGAUCAAGCAUUCUAGGGAGAACUCCUCCUCCAGUUCUUGUUCCCUCGUCCCUUCCUUAAAGUGAAGUCAAGUGAUCAAGCUUUCUAGGGAGAACUCCUUUGUCUUUGGGGGAAAGAGUUUUUGAAAUUUUCCAGGUUGGUGGUAGCUUUUCAAUGAUUAUGACAACUUGAAAUUGAUCAGCUAAAACCAUACCUUCAAAAGUAAUUUCAUGAGCAAUUUUAUGUAAUUGAUGAGAUUGUGCUUCAACAGAUUUAUCAUCAACCAUCUGAUAUUUCAAAUAAUGACUAACAGUAAAUUUCUUGGCCCCAGUUUGUUCAGUGUCAUAUUUUUUUUCUUCUGAAUUGUAUCCCAUAAAUCUUUAUAGUGCCAUAAUCAGAGUAGUGAUAAAAAAGAUCACUACAAUUAGCCUUCAAUACUUGUACCUCCACCAUCUCUUUCUUUCCAUCCUUUUCUACUUCUUGUAUUUAUGAGACGGUACACUUAGUGACAUGAUCCCAAACCCAAGAUCUCUCAAAAGAAGAUCUCUCUAAUGUAGCUAAUAUAGUUGGUUGUUUUGUCUUUGGAAUAGGUGGUGCUUUUCUUUUUCUGGAGGAGGAGGGUUUUGGGGGAGGCAUUGAUGAUUUUGACUAUGUGGGUUGUGCUUGUGUUGGUGGUUAUGGAGGACAUGGUGAUGGUGAUGUAGCCGUAGAUGAUGCUACAUUAGUACUAGGGGUACUUUGGCUUUGAGAUUGAGACAUUAUGUAAAAUUCUGCAAAAUAUUAAAUAAUGAAAGUAUAUUCAUUAAUCAAAUAAAGAUAUUUCA
This is a long non-coding RNA of Pyrus x bretschneideri (Chinese white pear), 1185 nucleotides long. RefSeq lists it as uncharacterized. The record is from RefSeq and is a predicted model, not a curated record. The transcript is spliced from 3 exons. Lineage: Eukaryota; Viridiplantae; Streptophyta; Magnoliopsida; Rosales; Rosaceae.